AAUCAACGCUGGCGGCGUGCCUCAGACAUGCAAGUCGAACGAUUAAAGCUCUCUUCGGAGAGUGUAUAGAGUGGCGCACGGGUGAGUAACACGUAAGUAAUCUACCUUUGAGUGGGGAAUAACCCGGGGAACCCGAGCUAAUACCGCAUAAUGCAGCGGCACCGCAAGGUGACAGUUGUUAAAGGAGCAAUCCGCUUAAAGAGGAGCUUGCGGCAGAUUAGCUAGNGGUAAGGUAAUGGCUUACCAAGGCUUCGAUCUGUAUCCGGCCUGAGAGGGCGGUCGGACACACUGACACUGAAUAACGGGUCAGACUCCUACGGGAGGCAGCAGUCGGGAAUUUGGGCAAUGGGCGAAAGCCUGACCCAGCAACGCCGCGUGAAGGAUGAAGUAUUUCGGUAU
This 399-nucleotide ribosomal RNA is filed under the name uncultured bacterium. RNAcentral describes it as "bacterial SSU rRNA". It matches the Rfam family "Bacterial small subunit ribosomal RNA", at positions 32 to 424 of the family's 1533-position model. The record is from RNAcentral.